UUAAAAGAAACCAAAGUUUAGGUGUGUCACUGUUAAUGAUAAUUUGGGUUAAGCCCCUUUUAAA
This 64-nucleotide transfer RNA is filed under the name Spinactaletes boneti. Its description in RNAcentral is "tRNA-Asn". The record is from RNAcentral. Lineage: Eukaryota; Metazoa; Arthropoda; Collembola; Entomobryomorpha; Actaletidae.